This 305-nucleotide ribosomal RNA is filed under the name uncultured bacterium. RNAcentral's name for it is "bacterial SSU rRNA". It matches the Rfam family "Bacterial small subunit ribosomal RNA", at positions 334 to 631 of the family's 1533-position model. The record is from RNAcentral.
UGACCCUACGGGACGCAGCAGUGGGGAAUAUUGCGCAAUGGACGAAAGUCUGACGCAGCGACGCCGCGUGAGGGAUGAAGGUUUUCGGAUCGUAAACCUCUGUCAGGAGGGAAGAAAGCGCAUGGCGCCAAUCAGCCAUGCGUUGACGGUACCUCCAAAGGAAGCGCCGGCUAACUCCGUGCCAGCAGCCGCGGUAAUACGGAGGGCGCGAGCGUUAAUCGGAAUUACUGGGCGUAAAGCGCGCGUAGGCUGUUGUGUAAGUUGGGGGUGAAAUCCCCGGGCUCAACCUGGGAACUGCUUUGGAA